This 398-nucleotide ribosomal RNA is filed under the name uncultured bacterium. RNAcentral's name for it is "bacterial SSU rRNA". It matches the Rfam family "Bacterial small subunit ribosomal RNA", at positions 358 to 773 of the family's 1533-position model. The record is from RNAcentral.
GGAAUAUUGGACAAUGGGCGCAAGCCUGAUCCAGCCCUGCCGCGUGAGUGAUGAAGGCCUUAGGGUUUUAAAGCUCUUUCACCGAUGAAGAUAAUGACGGUAGUCGGAGAAGAAGCCCCGGCUAACUUCGUGCCAGCAGCCGCGGUAAUACGAAGGGGGCUAGCGUUGUUCGGAUUUACUGGGCGUAAAGCGCACGGAGGCGGUUUGUUAAGUCAGAGGUGAAAUCCCGGAGCUCAACUCCGGAACUGCCUUUGAUACUGGCAAGCUAGAGGUCGGAAGAGGUAAGUGGAACUCCUAGUGUAGAGGUGGAAUUCGUAGAUAUUAGGAAGAACACCAGUGGCGAAGGCGGCUUACUGGUCCGGAACUGACGCUGAGGUGCGAAAGCGUGGGGAGCAAAC